Molecule: ribosomal RNA, 322 nt
Filed under: uncultured eukaryote
Lineage: Eukaryota
Description: partial 18S ribosomal RNA
Rfam family: Eukaryotic small subunit ribosomal RNA
Source: RNAcentral
CCCUUAGAUGUUCUGGGCCGCACGCGUGCUACACUGAGUGGAUCAGCGGGUCAGGUUGCGCGAAAGUGUUUCCUAAUCUUUAAAUCCGCUCGUGAUGGGGAUUGACGGUUGCAAUUUUCCGUCAUGAACGAGGAAUACCUUGUAAGCGCGGGUCAUCAUCCCGCGCUGAAUACGUCCCUGCCCUUUGUACACACCGCCCGUCGCUCCUACCGAUUGAGUGGUCCGGUGAGGCUUUGGGAUCUGAGCGGAAAGAGCGUUUCGCUCGUUUUGCCCGGAAAACUCAGUCGAACCUUAUCAUUUAGAGGAAGGAGAAGUCGUAACA